GAUGAAGAACGUAGCGAAAUGCGAUACUUGGUGUGAAUUGCAGAAUCCCGUGAACCAUCGAGUCUUUGAACGCAAGUUGCGCCCGAAGCCACUAGGCCGAGGGCACGCCUGCCUGGGCGUCACACGCCGUUGCCCCCCCAUCUACUCCUUCGGGAUUGCGGGGGGGCGGAUGAUGGCCUCCUGUGCGCCUAGCCGCGCGGUUGGCAUAAAUACCAAGUCCUCGGCGACGCACGCCACGACAAUCGGUGGUUGCGAAACCUCGGUUGCCCGUCGUGUGCGUUCGUCGCGCAUCGAGGGCUCGAAAAAAUGCUCGGCUCCGGCUGGGCUUUCAACGCGACCCCAGGUCAGGCGGGGUUACCCGCUGAAUUUAAGAAUAUCAAUAAGCGGAGGA
RNAcentral lists this unclassified non-coding RNA (391 nucleotides) under soil metagenome. RNAcentral describes it as "partial contains 5.8S ribosomal RNA, internal transcribed spacer 2, and large subunit ribosomal RNA". The stretch from base 1 to 122 matches the Rfam family "5.8S ribosomal RNA", at positions 35 to 154 of the family's 154-position model. The record is from RNAcentral.